CUUUACACUUGUUUUCUAACCAAUUGCUGUUCUUUCUGAGUAGUUUGCUGUUUGAGAAGAUAGAACAUGUGUUGCUGGAUGCAUGCAACAAUGCAGCAAUGGAAAAAACUGGACUAUCUUGUCAGGGCAUACAAGAUCCUGGAAGUAAAGGAGAAACUACUGAACACAUCAAGAAUAAAGAAAGUGAACUGCUAAAUGG
Long non-coding RNA from Thamnophis elegans (Western terrestrial garter snake), 199 nucleotides. RefSeq lists it as uncharacterized. The transcript has 3 exons. NCBI's taxonomy places the organism in Eukaryota, Metazoa, Chordata, Lepidosauria, Squamata, Natricidae. The record is from RefSeq and is a predicted model, not a curated record.